GUAUGAACGGCCACAUGAGGACCAAACUGUCUCCCCCGACCAAUCAAUGAACCUGAUCUCCUAGUACAAAAGCUAAGAUACGCCCAUAAGACGAGAAGACCCUGUGGAGCUUAAAAUACUAGCACUAACCACCCCAACCCCGACAGGCCCAAAUCACCAGAAUAGUGCACAUUUUCAGUUGGGGCGACUACGGAACCAAACUAAACUUCCCCGACAAGGACCACCCCUCCACCCAAGGCCAACAAGCCGACACACCAUUUGACCCAGCAAUGCUGACCAACGAACCAAGUUACCCCAGGGAUAACAGCGCCAUCCUCUUUAAGAGCCCCUAUCGCCAAGAGGGUUUACGACCUCGAUGUUGGAUCAGGACCCCCAGGUGGUGCAACCGCUACCAAUGGUUCGUUUG
RNAcentral lists this ribosomal RNA (406 nucleotides) under Sphaerodactylus difficilis. RNAcentral describes it as "partial 16S ribosomal RNA". It matches the Rfam family "Bacterial large subunit ribosomal RNA", at positions 1990 to 2579 of the family's 2925-position model. Lineage: Eukaryota; Metazoa; Chordata; Lepidosauria; Squamata; Sphaerodactylidae. The record is from RNAcentral.